RNAcentral lists this ribosomal RNA (492 nucleotides) under uncultured bacterium. RNAcentral's name for it is "partial 16S ribosomal RNA". It matches the Rfam family "Bacterial small subunit ribosomal RNA", at positions 29 to 507 of the family's 1533-position model. The record is from RNAcentral.
AGUGAACGCUGGCGGUAGGCCUAACACAUGCAAGUCGAACGGCAGCACAGUAAGAGCUUGCUCUUACGGGUGGCGAGUGGCGGACGGGUGAGGAAUACAUCGGAAUCUACUUUUUCGUGGGGGAUAACGUAGGGAAACUUACGCUAAUACCGCAUACGACCUACGGGUGAAAGCAGGGGAUCUUCGGACCUUGCGCGAUUGAAUGAGCCGAUGUCGGAUUAGCUAGUUGGCGGGGUAAAGGCCCACCAAGGCGACGAUCCGUCGCUGGUCUGAGAGGAUGAUCCGCCACACUGGAACUGAGACACGGUCCAGACUCCUACGGGAGGCAGCAGUGGGGAAUAUUGGACAAUGGGCGCAAGCCUGAUCCAGCCAUACCGCGUGGGUGAAGAAGGCCUUCGGGUUGUAAAGCCCUUUUGUUGGGAAAGAAAAGCAGCAGGUUAAUACCCCGCUGUUCUGACGGUACCCAAAGAAUAAGCACCGGCUAACUUCGUG